RNAcentral lists this ribosomal RNA (264 nucleotides) under uncultured archaeon. Its description in RNAcentral is "partial 16S ribosomal RNA". It matches the Rfam family "Archaeal small subunit ribosomal RNA", at positions 717 to 982 of the family's 1478-position model. The record is from RNAcentral.
AGUCACUGACAUUAGAUACCCGUGUAGUCCAGGGUGUAAACGCUGCGGGCUUGGUGUUGGGGUCCUUAGUGGGCGCCCAGUGCCGGAGAGAAGUUGUUAAGCCUGCUGCUUGGGGAGUAUGUCCGCAAGGAUGAAACUUAAAGGAAUUGGCGGGGGAGCACCACAACGGGUGGAGCUUGCGGUUUAAUUGGAUUCAACGCCGGAAAUCUUACCGGGACCGACAGCAACAUGAAGGCCAGGCUGAAGACUUUGCCGGAUUAGCUG